AUGCCGGGGACGACCAUCUCCGGCGUUCUCCUGCUCGCCUGCGUCGUCCUGGCCGUGCAGCUCUGUGUGUGCACGGAGCUACGCAAUAAUGGCAGCCGCGGCGACGAUGGGUUUAGCGUGGAGUUCAUCCACCGGGACUCCGUUCGGUCGCCGUUCCACGACCCAUCGCUCACCGCACACGGCCGUGUGCUUGCGGCGGCGCGGCGGUCCACGGCGCGCGCCCGGGUCAUCGACGACGGCACCAUGUCGGAGGUCGACCACAGGUCGUUCGAGUACCUGAUGGCCGUGGGCAUAGGCACUCCACCCACACGGAUGCUCGCCAUCGCCGACACCGGCAGCGACCUCGUCUGGUUCAACUGCCGGAACGGCACUGGCGCCGCCGCUGUGGACCGUCCUCCGAGCGUCGUCCUGUUCGACCCAGACAACUCGACGACGUUCGGCCUCGUGGGCUGCAAGUCCCGCGCAUGCCGCGCGAUCCCCGACGGCGCCACCUGCGCCCUCGCCUCCAACUGCAAGUACAUCUACUCCUACGGCGACGGCUCUAGGACAAGCGGCCUCAUCUCCACCGAGACCUUCACCUUCGCCCACGUCCCCGGCACCGCCCGCGGCCAUCGGGGCCGGAGGAAGCGCGUGGCCACCGUGAACUUCGGCUGCUCCACUGCCACGGCUGGCACGUUCCAAGCGGACGGCGUGGUGGGCCUCGGAGGCGGCGCCCUCUCCCUCGUCACGCAGCUCGGCGCCCACAAAUCGCUCGGCGGUCGGAAAUUCUCCUACUGCCUCGUGCCCUACUCCGUGAACGCCUCCUCCGCGCUCAACUUCGGCGCCCGCGCCAUAGUGAAGGACACAGGCGCGGUGGCGACACCGCUGAUCCCAUCCCUAGUGGACACGUACUACACCGUCGACCUCCAGUCCGUCAAGAUCGGGAACAUGACCAUCGCGUCGCCGCACGGGCACCAGGACGUCAUCGUCGACUCCGGCACCACGCUGACAUUCCUCAACAAGGCGCUGCUGGACCCAAUGGUGAAGGAGCUGAGCCGCCGGAUCAAGCUCCCGCGGGCGCCAUCGCCCGACAAGCUCCUGACGCUGUGCUUCGACGUGAGCAGGGUAGGGGAGCGGCGGGCGAAGGCGAUGGUCCCUGACGUGACGCUGGGGCUGGGCGGCGGCGCGGCGGUCACGCUCAAUGCGGAGAACACCUUCGUGGUUGUGGAGGAGGGCACCAUGUGCUUGGCGGUGUCGGCGGUGCCGGAGCGGUUACCGGCGUCGAUCCUCGGGAACAUCGCGCAGCAGAACAUGCACGUCGGGUACGACCUCGACAAGCGCACCGUGACCUUCGCCGCGGCAAACUGCGCAGCGUCAUAUCAUGUUCCUAUCCAUCCCCCUCCGCCUAUGUAA
Molecule: ribosomal RNA, 1392 nt
Filed under: Triticum aestivum (bread wheat)
Lineage: Eukaryota; Viridiplantae; Streptophyta; Magnoliopsida; Poales; Poaceae
Description: partial small subunit ribosomal RNA
Source: RNAcentral